UACAGAGGGUGCGAGCGUUACUCGGAAUUACUGGGCGUAAAGCGCACGUAGUCGGCUUUGCAAGUCGGGUGUGAAAUCCCCGGGCUCAACCUGGGAACUGCAUCCGAGACUGCAUUGCUAGAGUAUGGGAGAGGGAAGCGGAAUUUCUGGUGUAGCAGUGAAAUGCGUAGAUAUCAGAAGGAACAUCAGUGGCGAAGGCGGCUUCCUGGACCAAUACUGACGAUCAGGUGCGAAAGCGUGGGGAGCAAACAGG
This 253-nucleotide ribosomal RNA is filed under the name uncultured bacterium. Its description in RNAcentral is "partial 16S ribosomal RNA". It matches the Rfam family "Bacterial small subunit ribosomal RNA", at positions 524 to 776 of the family's 1533-position model. The record is from RNAcentral.